This 253-nucleotide ribosomal RNA is filed under the name uncultured bacterium. RNAcentral's name for it is "partial 16S ribosomal RNA". It matches the Rfam family "Bacterial small subunit ribosomal RNA", at positions 524 to 776 of the family's 1533-position model. The record is from RNAcentral.
UACGAAGGGGGCUAGCGUUGCUCGGAAUCACUGGGCGUAAAGCGCCCGUAGGCGGAUUGUUAAGUCAGGGGUGAAAUCCUGGAGCUCAACUCCAGAACUGCCUUUGAUACUGGCGAUCUUGAGUCCGGGAGAGGUGAGUGGAACUGCGAGUGUAGAGGUGAAAUUCGUAGAUAUUCGCAAGAACACCAGUGGCGAAGGCGGCUCACUGGCCCGGUACUGACGCUGAGGUGCGAAAGCGUGGGGAGCAAACAGG